UACGAAGGGGGCUAGCGUUGUUCGGAAUUACUGGGCGUAAAGCGCGCGUAGGCGGAUUUGCCAGUCAGGGGUGAAAUGCCAGGGCUUAACCUUGGAACUGCCUUUGAUACUGCAAGUCUGGAGUACGGGAGAGGUGAGUGGAAUUCCGAGUGUAGAGGUGAAAUUCGUAGAUAUUCGCAAGAACACCAGUGGCGAAGGCGGCUUACUGGUCCGGUUCUGACGCUGAGGCGCGAAAGCGUGGGGAGCAAACAGG
RNAcentral lists this ribosomal RNA (253 nucleotides) under uncultured bacterium. RNAcentral's name for it is "partial 16S ribosomal RNA". It matches the Rfam family "Bacterial small subunit ribosomal RNA", at positions 524 to 776 of the family's 1533-position model. The record is from RNAcentral.